AACUGUUGUAGAACAGGAGAAGC
Molecule: microRNA, 23 nt
Filed under: Gallus gallus (chicken)
Lineage: Eukaryota; Metazoa; Chordata; Aves; Galliformes; Phasianidae
Description: gga-miR-7448-3p
Source: miRBase by way of RNAcentral